This 147-nucleotide signal recognition particle RNA is filed under the name Chlorocebus sabaeus (green monkey). RNAcentral describes it as "Metazoan signal recognition particle RNA". It matches the Rfam family "Metazoan signal recognition particle RNA". Rfam says of the family: The signal recognition particle (SRP) is a universally conserved ribonucleoprotein. It is involved in the co-translational targeting of proteins to membranes. Lineage: Eukaryota; Metazoa; Chordata; Mammalia; Primates; Cercopithecidae. The record is from Rfam by way of RNAcentral.
GCCAGGCAUGGUGGUGCAUGCCUGUAGUCCCAGGUACUUGGGAGGCUGAGGUGGGAGGAUUGCUUGAGCCCAGGAGUUCAAGGCUUCAGUGAGCUAUGAUUGUGCUAGGUACUCUAGCCUGGGCCACAGAGUAAGACCCCAUCUCAA